GCGUCGGGACGACCCGGCUUGCUUUCCACGCUGCGGGGACGGCCUCG
RNAcentral lists this non-coding RNA (47 nucleotides) under Halomonas sp. RNAcentral's name for it is "Guanidine-II sequence". It matches the Rfam family "Guanidine-II riboswitch aptamer (mini-ykkC)". From Rfam's summary of the family: Simpler in structure and has fewer highly conserved nucleotide positions than the ykkC-yxkD leader. Despite this each of its two stem-loop structures directly bind free guanidine. The record is from RNAcentral. Lineage: Bacteria; Pseudomonadati; Pseudomonadota; Gammaproteobacteria; Oceanospirillales; Halomonadaceae.